CAGAAGCGUAUAUUAAUGUUGUUGCAGUUAAAACGCUCGUAGUUGGAUCUUGGAAGUAGGUUUGAGCUCUGUCCGUCUGAAGACGAGUACGGACUCUCCGCUUCUGUAUUUGGCGCUAAUGCACAUGGGCUCUUAAUUGAGUUCCAUGUUUGCCGGAGGGUUAAUAGCCCGAGGGCAAGGUCGGCCCGUGGGUGGUGCGGUCAGUGGGUGAAAGCCUGCUGGGCGACGCCGGCGGGAGGGCAGUGUUUCGCCUCAUUUACUUUGAAAAAAAUAGAGUGCUCAAAGCAGACCUUAGGGUCAUUGAAUAAUUCAGCAUGGGAUAAUAGAACAUGAGAUUGAAUUCAUCUUGUUGGUAUUAUGAAUUUAAACUAAUGAUUAAAAGGGACCGUCGGGGUGGUUUGUAUUGAGAAGCUAGAGGUGAAAUUCUUGGAUUUUCUCAAGACAAACAACUGCGAAAGCAAUCUACUAGGAGGUUCCCAUUAA
This 483-nucleotide ribosomal RNA is filed under the name uncultured eukaryote. RNAcentral's name for it is "partial 18S ribosomal RNA". It matches the Rfam family "Eukaryotic small subunit ribosomal RNA", at positions 592 to 976 of the family's 1831-position model. The record is from RNAcentral.